CCUGGUGCCAAAGUGUGUUUGUGGUAAUUAGGAGUGGGGAAAACCUCACUGCUAGAGGCUAGAGAAAAAUGAACAGGGCGCCCAUCAACAUCGUGUUGCUUUACAUGAGUGCACACUGAGACUCAGAGUGGUGAGUAAAGACAAUUAAUGUACAUGUGGAACUAAGCAUUUCUCAGAUAACUGUUUUUUUUAAAAAGAAACUUAAAUCCCUGUAUUAGACAAUGCAAUAUUCUUACCAUUUGUGCAAUGAUUUGUUAAUUAAAUUGCUGCUAAAACAAUAUUUAUUUUUCACCUUAAAAUCAGCUGAAUAUCAAUCUACAAUCAAUAUAGUGUUGCCUGGAGGCACCUCUUGCUUCAAAUUUGCUUCACAAAUCUGCUGCAGGGGAGAUGAUAAGAGUUCCAUGCAAUGUGCAUCUAGGUAGAGAUACAUAAAGAAGAGUUUUCCACAAGGUGAGGUCACCGAGAGGGUGGCAACGCCAUGACCGGAGCUUCCUUUGCACUUCUGUACCCAGAGGGUCUGCUUGCCAUUUCUAGCUGUGACUCAUCUCUCCAUCUGGUGAUCUCUAGCAAGCCACGAACCCACCCUGAGCUCUCCUGGACUGGUUUGGUGAGGACCAAAUGAUGGAGGUAAACCAUGAAGAACAAUGCGUGGAACACACUGAGUACUCCAUAAUAGAAACACACCCCAAACCCAACUCAUGGUCAACCCACAACCUGAUCCUCUUCAGAAUGACCACCCCAGGGUUGUUACCAUUCUUUACCCAGAG
RNAcentral lists this long non-coding RNA (767 nucleotides) under Fukomys damarensis (Damara mole-rat). RNAcentral's name for it is "lncRNA (ENSFDAG00000024662.1)". Lineage: Eukaryota; Metazoa; Chordata; Mammalia; Rodentia; Bathyergidae. The record is from RNAcentral.